Molecule: ribosomal RNA, 216 nt
Filed under: Glomeromycotina sp.
Lineage: Eukaryota; Fungi; Glomeromycota
Description: partial small subunit ribosomal RNA
Rfam family: Eukaryotic small subunit ribosomal RNA (bases 40-216)
Source: RNAcentral
GGGUCAGUAGGUUGGUCGUGCCACCGGUACGUACUGGUCUCACUGAUUCCUCCUUCCUGAAGAACCGUAAUGCUAUUAAUUUGGUGUUGCGGGGAAACAGGACUGUUACUUUGAAAAAAUUAGAGUGUUUAAAGCAAGCUAACGCUUGAAUACAUUAGCAUGGAACAAUGAAAUAGGACGAUCGAUCCUGUUUUGUUGGUUUCUAGGAUUGACGUA